Molecule: long non-coding RNA, 542 nt
Organism: Fundulus heteroclitus (mummichog)
Lineage: Eukaryota; Metazoa; Chordata; Actinopteri; Cyprinodontiformes; Fundulidae
Exons: 3
Source: RefSeq, a predicted model, not a curated record
GGCCUCAGGAUGUCGAUGUUGGCAUAAAGGUUAAAGGCUUUGGAGGCCUGCCGCUUCCCUGCCUGCCACACCUGGAGGUGGAACACAGCCUUAGACCCGACAUUCAGGAUGAAAGUAGGCGAUGAAGUGUGGACCAGAACAGAGGAGGAGCUCAUGACUAGAACCUCACAACAGCAGAUGAAGCAGGAGGUUGAAGGUACAGCUGGUCACCAUGAUGGUCUCCUCUGAUGAAGACUGUGGAGCUGCAGUAGCACCACUGGUCAGAUAAGACCAUACAAAGACAUCCCAUUCCCCACUAUUUGAUUUUCCAUAACAAAAUAAAUUGUUGGCAUCUAUUUUAUUUUUAUAAAAAGCCAGAGCUCUCUGCAAGCGUACAUUUUCUACUGCUGGAGACAUUAUCAGCCAGGAGCGGGCUGCUUUGUCUCCUGAGAAAGCAGACAUGUUAAUUUUAAAUAAAAAGGUCCUCAUGAUGUCACAGUGAGCUUCAGACACUCACUUGUUUGCACUGAAAAUAUAUUUUUAUGUAAUAAAUGCUUUGAAUG